Long non-coding RNA from Mesocricetus auratus (golden hamster), 770 nucleotides. RefSeq lists it as uncharacterized. The transcript has 3 exons. Lineage: Eukaryota; Metazoa; Chordata; Mammalia; Rodentia; Cricetidae. The record is from RefSeq and is a predicted model, not a curated record.
GGUGCCGCAGACCUACUUCCCAUACGGAGCGUCACUUCCGCCUACCCAGAGAGCGGCCAUGCCGGAAGCGGGUGGGAGGAGUGAGGCGCCAUCCUUGACCUGUGUGUUUUGUGAUCUCACUGGUCACAGGUACCAGUGACUAAGCUUCGGUGAUUCCAGAAUGCUACUCCAAAUCCUUCCAGAAACUGCAGCAACACCCAGAGUCAGUGAACCUUCCCUUUCACACAGAUGCUGGAGAUAGAACUCAUGUUGUCAUGUGCCCUGGUCAGCAGGGCACAACUAACAUCUGGCCCACGGGAACCUGGAAUGACGGGACAAGAGACACGAGAAAGGGGAGCAGGACAGCAGGGCUGAUCGAGCUGCGUAUACUGAGGAUCUCCUACAAGCUUAUAUGGGGGAACGAGGUAGUGGGAUGGGGGCAGAGGAAGGCAGGGCAAUAAGGGAGGGGCCAUUGCCUAGUAACCAGGCCACAAAAUGUUGUUAUUCAGGGUCACUUGAAGAUGGGCAGGAUAUGUUCCUAGGACGUAAGUCUACGACUGGGGGAGUCCGGACUGCAGACCAGGUGGCAGAAGGGUGGGAGAGCCUGGACCGCAGGCCUUGAAAGUGUGCUAUGCAGGAAGUUAAGCAGACACAGAGACAUAGAAACUUAACUAAGUGUUAGUCUCUCGUUAAUACAGCAGGAAUAUGAAGAUGGCUUUUAUUUUAUUUUUUAAAAGAUUUUAUUUAUUUAUUAUGAAUACAAUAUCCUGCCUCCAUGUACGUUUGCACAU